CGGGGGUGGGGGUCAGGAGGAAUGGCUCCCCAGACUCCUGAACAGAGGAUGGUGACCCAAUCAGGGAACACGUCUCAACCCAACAUUGAAAGGACAAAGUUGCGUCUGCAGGCUUCCUCUUAAUUCUAUGGAUCAUGCAAUAGUCUUUCAAGAAAUUAUCUUCUGCUUAGCUAGUCACUUCCUGUUGCUAGAACCAUGAAGAGGCCUGGUGAAAGAUGUUCAGUAUACUACCUGCAUCAGCUGCUACUGCUAUGUGACAAGCAAAUUUUCCAGAAACACUGACAUGGAAACAGGAUCUUUCUUCUCCUACUGUUUGUUCCUCGACUACAGUUAUAAUCCUCUAUUUGUGACAUCAUAAUUAGUUGCCACUGGAGAAGACGAUCGUGUCACAAAAGGAUUAGGACCUAAGUCUUGGAGUCCAGCCACUAUGCUGUGGGGAAGCAAAGAAAGCUGUGGAGAGGCCACGUGGGGAGGAAUGCCAUCCUUAGCAUGGGCUGAGCUCCCAGGCAGCACCCAUCUCCAGACAUGCGAGUGAACAGGACUUCCGGCAAUUCCAGCCCCAGCCACUGAGUCACUUCCAGUUUCUCAGUGUUUCCAGGGGAGGCCUCAGACACUAUGGAGCAAAGAAAAUCUGACCCAGCUGUGCCCUGUCCAAAUUCCUGACCCAUAGAGAAUACAAGAGAGAAUAAA
This 690-nucleotide long non-coding RNA is filed under the name Homo sapiens (human). Its description in RNAcentral is "HSALNT0201035". Lineage: Eukaryota; Metazoa; Chordata; Mammalia; Primates; Hominidae. The record is from RNAcentral.